CCAUAGCGGAGGAAAAGAAACCAACCGGGAUUGCCUUAGUAACGGCGAGUGAAGCGGCAAAAGCUCAAAUUUGAAAUCUGGUACCUUCGGUGCCCGAGUUGUAAUUUGGAGAGGGCAACUUUGGGGCCGUUCCUUGUCUAUGUUCCUUGGAACAGGACGUCAUAGAGGGUGAGAAUCCCGUGUGGCGAGGAGUGCGGUUCUUUGUAAAGUGCCUUCGAAGAGUCGAGUUGUUUGGGAAUGCAGCUCUAAGUGGGUGGUAAAUUCCAUCUAAAGCUAAAUAUUGGCGAGAGACCGAUAGCGAACAAGUACAGUGAUGGAAAGAUGAAAAGAACUUUGAAAAGAGAGUGAAAAAGUACGUGAAAUUGUUGAAAGGGAAGGGCAUUUGAUCAGACAUGGUGUUUUGUGCCCUCUGCUCCUUGUGGGUAGGGGAAUCUCGCAUUUCACUGGGCCAGCAUCAGUUUUGGUGGCAGGAUAAAUCCAUAGGAAUGUAGCUUGCCUCGGUAAGUAUUAUAGCCUGUGGGAAUACUGCCAGCUGGGACUGAGGACUGCGACGUAAGUCAAGGAUGCUGCAUAAUGUUACCCC
Molecule: ribosomal RNA, 583 nt
Filed under: Saccharomyces cerevisiae (brewer's yeast)
Lineage: Eukaryota; Fungi; Ascomycota; Saccharomycetes; Saccharomycetales; Saccharomycetaceae
Description: eukaryotic LSU rRNA
Rfam family: Eukaryotic large subunit ribosomal RNA
Source: RNAcentral